Molecule: non-coding RNA, 204 nt
Organism: Cinara cedri
Lineage: Eukaryota; Metazoa; Arthropoda; Insecta; Hemiptera; Aphididae
Source: the annotation of a GenBank genome assembly
ACUGUUGAAGGUGGGAAGUUUUGAAGGUAGGAUACAGGCAGGAAUUUAAUGAAUAUCUGUAAGCAACGAUAAGCAAUUGCUAACGAAAAAACGAUUUUGAACGGAGUUCAAAUGAUAGUUUUGUUUUGUCGACAAUGUAUAUAUGUCAUAUUAUGGUAAAAUGAUUACGCAUGCAUUAAACAUUUUCUUCAAUAAUAUUUGUUU